AGUGAACGCUGGCGGUAGGCUUAACACAUGCAGGUCGAACGGCAGCACAGUAAGAGCUUGCUCUUACGGGUGGCGAGUGGCGGACGGGUGAGGAAUACAUCGGAAUCUACUUUUUCGUGGGGGAUAACGUAGGGAAACUUACGCUAAUACCGCAUACGACCUACGGGUGAAAGCAGGGGAUCUUCGGACCUUGCGCGAUUGAAUGAGCCGAUGUCGGAUUAGCUAGUUGGCGGGGUAAAGGCCCACCAAGGCGACGAUCCGUAGCUGGUCUGAGAGGAUGAUCAGCCACACUGCAACUGAGACACGGUCCAGACUCCUACGGGAGGCAGCAGUGGGGAAUAUUGGACAAUGGGCGCAAGCCUGAUCCAGCCAUACCGCGUGGGUGAAGAAGGCCUUCGGGUUGUAAAGCCCUUUUGUUGGGAAAGAAAAGCAGCAGGUUAAUACCCCGCUGUUCUGACGGUACCCAAAGAAUAAGCACCGGCUAACUUCGUG
Molecule: ribosomal RNA, 492 nt
Filed under: uncultured bacterium
Lineage: Bacteria
Description: partial 16S ribosomal RNA
Rfam family: Bacterial small subunit ribosomal RNA
Source: RNAcentral